AUGCAUCUAAAGGUUGCAGGACGGUAGCGCUCGAGGACUGGACUUCAGCACCCUUGGUUUAGUAUUUUUGUUAGCAGCUAAAGCUAGCCAAGCAAGUGUAGCACAGUGUCGGGUGGUUAACCGAACAUUAGAACUAUAAGAAAAAUCUGAAGGCCAUUUGAUUUCACAUUAUUUAACUGCAGAGUCGUUUUCUUGAAGUUUUUGGCUUUAGAUGGCAUAAUGAGAAUGGCUGUGCUGGACCGGAAAUGAAGAAAAAAUGCCAUGUUGGUGACUGAAGCCUGUUAUGAUCAUUUCUACACAUCACAUUUCUUCAGAAAGUACUUUAAAUGCUGUUCACAAUGUUUCUGCUCUCCGGGCAAAACCAGGUGGUCAGAGUGUUAUGAAUGAAUAUGAUAGUGGCACACACAUGCCACAAGAAGAAUCCAAAACAUUUCAUGUCAAACUGUGAAUCAUGUUGUCAGAUAUGUGCAGCAUUUUGUCAAAGAUGAGAGCCAGUGUUGAAGGGUUCCUCAUUGGUGUGGAACCAGGACAGCCCUUUCUCCUGCAUGUUGGUGAAAACAAGAGCAGCACCAAAGACACUUCACAUCAGUGAUCACACGAUCAUCCCUGACCAUCCAUGGCACACAAAACCAUCCAUGGCCGCUUUUGAUGAACUUUCAAAGCUCACUUCACCUGCAGUGUUCUGUGGCGUAUGAAAACCUACAGUUUUCAACAUUGACACGACACUUUAGGUGCUUGGUUUUAUUUUGCCUGGCAGAGUGUACAGUCUUUAUUAUGAUCAUUUAAAUGUUCUUUGUUUUAGAAGAAAAUUUCUAAAACAAAAUGUUUUAGAAUUAUUUCUUAAUAUUGGACUUGUAAUAAGCCAAGCUCAAUUAAGGACUUGGCUUAUUACAGUCACUAUGGCAAGCAGUUUUCUGAAAUGUGUGGAAAGAAAACAUCAGAUUGCUGAACUUUAUGACCUUUGUUGUAUAUUGCUGUCGGUGCUGUUUGAUGAUCUUGUUUUGAAAUACAAGUAGAUUUAAACUGCAACUUAUAGUGGGGUUUUUGUUGAUUCAAGUGGCAUCUAAUGUUUUUUAAUCAAUCCAUCAAUCAAAUUUUAUUUGUAUAGCACAUUUCAGCAGCAAGGCAUUUCAAAGUGCUUUACAUCAAAUCAAACA
Molecule: long non-coding RNA, 1157 nt
Organism: Gambusia affinis (western mosquitofish)
Lineage: Eukaryota; Metazoa; Chordata; Actinopteri; Cyprinodontiformes; Poeciliidae
Exons: 5
Source: RefSeq, a predicted model, not a curated record